RNAcentral lists this non-coding RNA (31 nucleotides) under Rattus norvegicus (Norway rat). Lineage: Eukaryota; Metazoa; Chordata; Mammalia; Rodentia; Muridae. The record is from RNAcentral.
UGAAGUGUUUCCUUUGCACAGUGUUUCCUGU